RNAcentral lists this ribosomal RNA (253 nucleotides) under uncultured bacterium. RNAcentral's name for it is "partial 16S ribosomal RNA". It matches the Rfam family "Bacterial small subunit ribosomal RNA", at positions 524 to 776 of the family's 1533-position model. The record is from RNAcentral.
UACGGAGGGGGCUAGCGUUGUUCGGAAUUACUGGGCGUAAAGGGCGCGUAGGCGGCCUGCUAAGUCGAACGUGAAAUCCCCGGGCUCAACCCGGGAACUGCGUCCGAUACUGGCAGGCUUGAAUCCGGGAGAGGGAUGUGGAAUUCCAGGUGUAGCGGUGAAAUGCGUAGAUAUCUGGAGGAACACCGGUGGCGAAGGCGGCAUCCUGGACCGGCAUUGACGCUGAGGCGCGAAAGCCAGGGGAGCAAACGGG